This 143-nucleotide small nuclear RNA is filed under the name Ipomoea nil (Japanese morning glory). Its description in RNAcentral is "U4 spliceosomal RNA". It matches the Rfam family "U4 spliceosomal RNA". Rfam says of the family: U4 small nuclear RNA (U4 snRNA) is a component of the major U2-dependent spliceosome. The structure of U4 snRNA from yeast and human has been reported. The record is from Rfam by way of RNAcentral. Lineage: Eukaryota; Viridiplantae; Streptophyta; Magnoliopsida; Solanales; Convolvulaceae.
AUCUUUGCGCUUGGGGCAAUGACGCAGCUAGUGAGGUUCUAACCGAGGCGCGUCUAUUGCUGGUUGAAAACUAUUUCCAAACCCCCUCUAUGGCUUAGGUUUACCCUAAAGCCUUAGAGAAUUUUUGAAAGGGUUUCCUUAUC